UACGAAGGGGGCUAGCGUUGCUCGGAAUCACUGGGCGUAAAGGGCGCAUAGGCGGCCAUUCAAGUCGGAGGUGAAAGCCCAGGGCUCAACCCUGGAAUUGCCUUCGAUACUGUCUGGCUGGAGACCGGAAGAGGUAAGUGGAACUGCGAGUGUAGAGGUGAAAUUCGUAGAUAUUCGCAAGAACACCAGUGGCGAAGGCGGCUUACUGGUCCGGUUCUGACGCUGAGGCGCGAAAGCGUGGGGAGCAAACAGG
This 253-nucleotide ribosomal RNA is filed under the name uncultured bacterium. RNAcentral's name for it is "partial 16S ribosomal RNA". It matches the Rfam family "Bacterial small subunit ribosomal RNA", at positions 524 to 776 of the family's 1533-position model. The record is from RNAcentral.